Molecule: ribosomal RNA, 466 nt
Filed under: uncultured bacterium
Lineage: Bacteria
Description: partial 16S ribosomal RNA
Rfam family: Bacterial small subunit ribosomal RNA
Source: RNAcentral
CUACGGGGCGCAGCAGUGGGGAAUAUUGGACAAUGGGGGAAACCCUGAUCCAGCAAUGCCGCGUGUGUGAAGAAGGCCUGCGGGUUGUAAAGCACUUUCGGUUGGGAGGACUGCUUCUAGCACUAAUAUUGUUGGAAGUUGACGUUACCUUCAGAAGAAGCACCGGCUAACUCCGUGCCAGCAGCCGCGGUAAUACGGAGGGUGGCAAGCGUUAAUCGGAAUUACUGGGCGUAAAGCGCGCGUAGGCGGCUAGACCAGUCGGGUGUGAAAGCCCCGGGCUUAACCUGGGAACUGCAUCCGAUACUGUCUAGCUUGAGUACAGGAGAGGAGAGUGGAAUUCCACAUGUAGCGGUGAAAUGCGUAGAUAUGUGGAGGAACACCAAUGGCGAAGGCAGCUCUCUGGCCUGAUACUGACGCUGAGGUGCGAAAGCGUGGGGAGCAAACAGGAUUAGAUACCAUGGUAGUC